RNAcentral lists this transfer RNA (73 nucleotides) under Candidatus Shapirobacteria bacterium CG09_land_8_20_14_0_10_39_12. RNAcentral describes it as "tRNA-Ala". It matches the Rfam family "tRNA". Rfam says of the family: Transfer RNA (tRNA) molecules are approximately 80 nucleotides in length. Their secondary structure includes four short double-helical elements and three loops (D, anti-codon, and T loops). Further hydrogen bonds mediate the characteristic L-shaped molecular structure. tRNAs have two regions of fundamental functional importance: the anti-codon, which is responsible for specific mRNA codon recognition, and the 3' end, to which the tRNAs corresponding amino acid is attached (by aminoacyl-tRNA synthetases). tRNAs cope with the degeneracy of the genetic code in two manners: having more than one tRNA (with a specific anti-codon) for a particular amino acid; and 'wobble' base-pairing, i.e. permitting non-standard base-pairing at the 3rd anti-codon position. The record is from RNAcentral. Lineage: Bacteria; Candidatus Shapironibacteriota.
GGGCCGAUAGCUCAGCUGGAAGAGCACCCCGUUUGCAUCGGGGAGGUCAGCGGUUCGAACCCGCUUCGGUCCA